This 411-nucleotide ribosomal RNA is filed under the name Abedus herberti. RNAcentral's name for it is "eukaryotic LSU rRNA". It matches the Rfam family "Eukaryotic large subunit ribosomal RNA", at positions 645 to 982 of the family's 3401-position model. The record is from RNAcentral. Lineage: Eukaryota; Metazoa; Arthropoda; Insecta; Hemiptera; Belostomatidae.
UGACCCGUCUUGAAACACGGACCAAGGAGUCUAGUAUGUGUGUAAGUCAUUGGAUUAUGUAAAAUCUAAAGACAAAAUUAACGUAACUUAUGUGUGUUAUGCACAUAUAUAUAUAUGGGAUUACAUAUUAUUAAUAUUAAUUUUGUAUUGAUAAUAUCUCCAUCCCUGGGUGUUUUUAUUAGCUCAUUUUUAUAUUUAUUUAUUUAAAUGAGUAAAAGCAUACCAUGAAUAUACAURYUGUGACCCGAAAGAUGGUGAACUAURCCUGAUCAGGUCGAAGUCAGGGGAAACCCUGAUGGAGGAUCGUAGCAGUUCUGACGUGCAAAUCGAUUGUCAGAAUUGGGUACAGGGGCGAAAGACCAAUCGAACCAUCUAGUAGCUGGUUCCCUCCGAAGUUUCCCUCAGGAUAGC